Long non-coding RNA from Malania oleifera, 612 nucleotides. RefSeq lists it as uncharacterized. The record is from RefSeq and is a predicted model, not a curated record. NCBI's taxonomy places the organism in Eukaryota, Viridiplantae, Streptophyta, Magnoliopsida, Santalales, Ximeniaceae. The transcript is spliced from 4 exons.
GUGUCUACACUCGUUUCGGCGAGCCGAGGAUGACGAGAGGAGGAGGAUUGCAAACCCUAGAUCUGCAAUGGCUUCGCCGCUAUUGUAGUCUCCCCUUGUAAUCUACGGCCAGUUGCUCUUCUCUGCCGUUGAUGUUCAGUGCUUUGUGAUUGUUUGUUUGGGAUUGGGUAUUUCUAUUGCGGACGGGUUUUGUUUUGGGCUUGGCGCUUGCAGUCGUCGUAGGAGCUGGUCUGCAGUUUGACUCUAGAAUCUUCUCAAAGGACAAAAAUGUUCUGCACCUCAUAAGCAUAGGCAUCCCGUUUGUUGCAGCUACACAGCCCAUCAAUUUGCUAGCUUUCGUUUUUGACGGGUUGAAAUGCGGUGCGUCCGAUUUCGCAUAUACUGCAUACUCAAUGGGUUUGCAACUGUGACAACGUCAGGACGAUGUCAUGUACUACGGAUGCAGCUUUUCACUUUAUUUGUUAUCUAAGCAGAUGAAAUGUAUUUGAAUUUGAAUAAUGUAUUUGUAUUUAAAUUUAAAUUUGUAUAAAUGAAUAUGAAUUUGAAUUUGAAUAAUAUAUUUGUAUUUAAAUUUGAAUUAGAAUUUUGAAUAAUUUAUGAAUUUUAUUGCAA